GAUGAAGAACGUAGCGAAAUGCGAUAAGUAGUGUGAAUUGCAGAAUUCAGUGAAUCAUCGAAUCUUUGAACGCACAUUGCGCCCUUUGGUAUUCCUUAGGGCAUGCCUGUUCGAGCGUCAUUUAAACCUUCAAGCUAAGCUUGGUGUUGGGUGACUGUCCGCCUCACGGCGGACUCGCCUCAAAAUUAUUGGCGGCCGGUACAUUGGCUUCGAGCGCAGCAGAAACGCGAACUCGGGCCCGUCGUAUUGGCUCCCAGAAGCUAUCUUCACAAUUUUGACCUCGGAUCAGGUAGGGAUACCCGCUGAACUUAAGCAUAUCAAUAAGCGGAGGA
RNAcentral lists this unclassified non-coding RNA (332 nucleotides) under soil metagenome. RNAcentral's name for it is "partial contains 5.8S ribosomal RNA, internal transcribed spacer 2, and large subunit ribosomal RNA". The stretch from base 1 to 120 matches the Rfam family "5.8S ribosomal RNA", at positions 35 to 154 of the family's 154-position model. The record is from RNAcentral.